UGCCCUAGUAGCUUAGCCACAAAGCACCGGUCUUGUAAUCCGGAUAUCGGAGGUUAAAAUCCUCCCUAGUG
RNAcentral lists this transfer RNA (71 nucleotides) under Platystomatichthys sturio. Its description in RNAcentral is "tRNA-Thr". It matches the Rfam family "tRNA". Rfam says of the family: Transfer RNA (tRNA) molecules are approximately 80 nucleotides in length. Their secondary structure includes four short double-helical elements and three loops (D, anti-codon, and T loops). The record is from RNAcentral. Lineage: Eukaryota; Metazoa; Chordata; Actinopteri; Siluriformes; Pimelodidae.